ACCAGACACAGCUUCCUAAAUCCAGUACCAAUGCCGAAGAUCUGGAGGUUCUUACGCAGGAGCUUCCAUUAUAUAAAAAACAAAGAAUGAGUUGCGCGCCAAGUGUCAAAUAAAUGUAAAUCAUUUUUAAAAGGGUAAGAUAAUUGGAAUAAUUCUAACCAAUGCACUAUAUAAACGUCCCAACUAUAUUGUCCAACUCAGUAUUUCUCCUUGUG
Molecule: non-coding RNA, 215 nt
Organism: Pelobates cultripes (western spadefoot toad)
Lineage: Eukaryota; Metazoa; Chordata; Amphibia; Anura; Pelobatidae
Source: the annotation of a GenBank genome assembly